UUGUGUCAGAUGCAAAGGAAGUGAGAAAUGGACAGUAUGGGUACCAUGUUGUCGUUAUCACCACUAGGUAAUAGAAUAGGAGUGGGGCUCCUAUUAAGGAUUAUUCUGUGGUGUUAUAUUCUGUUGUUGCUUAUUUGUGUUUCAUUUUAGUGUUUCAGGCAUAUAAGAGAGUCGCAUUGACGGUUAGGACCUGUAAGCGUUGUCGUACUGUAAUUACUUACAGUAUGUAAAAAUUAGUGAAAACAUGUAAUAUGAUUAUAAGUCUUAAUGUGAGUUAGAAUAGUUAGUAUGUUAAUUUAAAAUGAAUUGAAAUAAGAAAAAUUAUUUGGAAGUUAAUCUAGUUU
This 344-nucleotide long non-coding RNA is filed under the name Physcomitrium patens. RNAcentral's name for it is "long non-coding RNA (PPAT_LNC013080)". Lineage: Eukaryota; Viridiplantae; Streptophyta; Bryopsida; Funariales; Funariaceae. The record is from RNAcentral.